GCGGGCAAAACGAGCGAUUAUGAACUGAUUGGAGUCAGAAGUUCAGCAGAUGGUUUACCCAUUAAAAAAGCAAGGUUCUCAAGGAGGACCAACUUCCCUGCAGCACGGCAUCUUGAUAAUCUGUCUCUAAUGUGGCACCAGCCCAUUGGCUAUUUACUCCUCAUCUUGCCAAAGUUAUUCAGCAACACAUCUGUCACCGAGUCUUCUUAUUAAAGAGGACAUUUGGAUCCUCAAGUCUGAACUUGCAAGGAGAGGAUGCAAGACUGAACUGUGUUUAGGCUACUUAAUAUUGAAGAAAAAGAUUGUGGAAAAGUCACACCAGCAGACUGAAAAGGCAACUGUCUGCAGCCACGCCUUUGUUUUCAGAUGUCUCAGUUUUCCCCCCAUCCACACUGAUACGGAGCAACAGCAUUUUAAAAUAAAAAUGGCCUCUUUAGCAUU
RNAcentral lists this long non-coding RNA (441 nucleotides) under Danio rerio (zebrafish). RNAcentral's name for it is "lncRNA si:dkey-1h6.6 (ENSDARG00000093696.3)". The record is from RNAcentral. Lineage: Eukaryota; Metazoa; Chordata; Actinopteri; Cypriniformes; Danionidae.